RNAcentral lists this microRNA precursor (105 nucleotides) under Marmota monax (woodchuck). Lineage: Eukaryota; Metazoa; Chordata; Mammalia; Rodentia; Sciuridae. The record is from RNAcentral.
AUAUGAACCACCUGUUGAUCUUGAUAAAAAAUGGAUUCUGAUUCACUAGAUUUGGGAAGGGGCCCAAGAUUUUGUAUUUCUAACAAGUUCCUAGAUAAUGCUUUG